RNAcentral lists this long non-coding RNA (1445 nucleotides) under Physcomitrium patens. Its description in RNAcentral is "long non-coding RNA (PPAT_LNC002450)". Lineage: Eukaryota; Viridiplantae; Streptophyta; Bryopsida; Funariales; Funariaceae. The record is from RNAcentral.
UGUGCAAUAUUCAUUACUAUUCUAGGAAAUUGUUUGAUGUAUGAAUGCCAUUAACCCCAAACUUGGACACCCUCCACAACCAAAACUAAUUCUAGGAUGUCUUUUUGUCUUCAUCAACCUCUUCCACAACAAUUGCUUCCUCAUCCCAUGAUGUUUUUAUAACCAUAGUUGGAGCCCCCCAUUGGAGGAUCAAAAGCACAAAACCCACGUAAAAUUUGUACAUCAUGUUGCCAAACAAUGUAUUUAUAAAGACCACAACACAAGGUUAUAACAGCCCAAGCUCCUAAUGACUCCAUGGUCAAAGACAGUUUUACGCUGUACAACUUGUUUGUGCUUGUAAGAUGGUGCUCGAUGAGGAUUCACUUCAUUAACUGCAGCUUUAUAAGUUUAUUCUUAUUUUUUUUAUUAUUAUUAUAGCUCUGGUGCCUGACACAAAGCAAUUUUUGUGGUGCAGGAAACAAUGGUAAGUAGAGUAGUUGGAGCAGGUGAGAUUAUGAGCAAAUGAGCCUCCACCACAAGUUCAUCACAACAAUGCCCUCCUGAUGCAAUGUAACUUCACUUCCCUCUGCUCAACUCCACUUUCAUUUUUUUAAUAUAUUGGCAGCCAAAAUCAGGAACCACCAUGUUUGCUUACAAAGCCUAUUUCAGCUUCAAGUGUAGUUGAUAUUACCUUUGUGUGGAUAUGUCCAUGUCGGAUGGAUACAUGGCCAAAUUUCUUGUCACUCACACCCCAAAUUGGCCAAGGAGGAUUUACUUUUUAUAUUUUAUUUUUUUAUUAUUGCAAGCGGAUGUCACAAUCCAUGAAGAGCACAAGGCAACAAAACCCUAAUUCUUUGCACACUUGGAUUUAGGGUUAGCAAUGUGGUGGGGUCGUCACAAAAAUCACCAGAAAAUCCAUGUCUCUAGCUUGCUUGCUUGCUUGCUUGUAGUAAUGCCACAAUUGGAUUCUCAAGUGGUAAGCCCUACUUCAUUGCUGCUACAGUGCUGAUGCUGCUGCAGCUUCUGUGCCACUGGAGUGUACCACUGGAGCUCCAACAUCACAUCUGACCUAGAAUGGAUAUUUUACCCACUGAUAAUUCCACUGCAACACUCUCUCACACACACAUGCACACUCUCAUACACACCAAGGGUGAAGGACAUACACCUCACCCAUUGUCAACCCUAAAUGUCAACCCAUAGAUUUUAGUCUUGAUUUUUGAAUCUUAAUUGCUGAAGCUUAGUUAAAUAUGUAAUUUGAACAGGAAUAGAGUAUAUGUAUAUAUAUAUAUAUAUAUAUGUGUGUGUGUGUGUGUGAUGAUUUCUUUCUUGGGUAGUGGUCAUGUUAUUUUAAAUUAUUGUGAGUAUUACAUUCUUAAAAUGUUUAUUAUUGUAUUGAGUGUUACACUCUGUAAGUAUUUUUUUUCUAUGUUGGGCAUUGUGUUCAAAUGUUUUUAUUUGCAUUACAG